Molecule: transfer RNA, 37 nt
Filed under: Moniliophthora perniciosa FA553
Lineage: Eukaryota; Fungi; Basidiomycota; Agaricomycetes; Agaricales; Marasmiaceae
Description: tRNA-Pro
Source: RNAcentral
GCCCUAACAAGGAAUCAUACUACUAGACCAUCAGGCC